Molecule: ribosomal RNA, 253 nt
Filed under: uncultured bacterium
Lineage: Bacteria
Description: partial 16S ribosomal RNA
Rfam family: Bacterial small subunit ribosomal RNA
Source: RNAcentral
GACAGAGGGGGCAAGCGUUGCUCGGAAUUACUGGGCGUAAAGGGCGCGUAGGCGGCCUUCUAAGUCGAACGUGAAAUCCCCGGGCUCAACCCGGGAACUGCGUCCGAGACUGAAAGGCUUGAAUCCGGGAGAGGGAUGUGGAAUUCCAGGUGUAGCGGUGAAAUGCGUAGAUAUCUGGAGGAACAUCGGUGGCGAAGGCGGCAUCCUGGACCGGUAUUGACGCUGAGGCGCGAAAGCCAGGGGAGCAAACGGG